GAAGACCUCUGAAUGGAUCACCAACUCUGAAUCGAAGACCCAAAGCUCUCCUUCCAGGCGCGAAUGAAGCUCUGAAUAGAAGACCUGCUCUCCUUUCACACUUCUUCUCUUCGUCGUCGACUUCGCCACUGAAUCUCAGAACAAAGUACAGGAAGUGGCAGCCAUCAGAAGAUGGAGGACAUAGUUUUUGUUUGGUGGAUUGGAGUCUCUUGGAAUGGUAGAAGACUAGACUGGGAAAAGCCAAUGCCUACUGGGCCCCAGUGAGCGGAAUGUGUGGCAUAAAACUUCAAGUCUUCAAGAUUGGAACACGAGACUAAGCCAUGGAUGGCUCUAAUGCAUACCGUGACGAAAAUUCGGUGAAACCAAUUCAGUACAAGUAUUCUUUGCUAGGAAGGCGGAAAUUGUGUCAGGCGAAUUCCUCAAUUUCAAAGUGGACAUAGCAUAUAUGAUAUAGAUAUUAACAAGACUCAGACGUGAAAGAGAUAUUCAGGGUCUAUAACAGAAGAAUCCAGCAUUUGUACUGAACUCCUUAGCUGAUACAAGGUUCUAAAAUAUACAAAUCUUAAGCUACUGGAGUAAGUUUUUUGGUGCAGAGGACCUGUGGACCAGAGAUGUGACAGCUUAAAAUAUAGUAUACUACAAUCUUUUACAAAGAUUCCUAAAAUUUCCAGUAAAUUAUAUAUCUCAAGAAAAUAUGCAGUAUCAGACAUAUUGCACUUCUAAAGCAUGGUUUGUAUUUUGUAAGCUCCUACACAUUCUACAUUCAGAAAAAAAACUAAUGAUGCAUCAUUGUUUAGAUAAAAA
Molecule: long non-coding RNA, 804 nt
Organism: Tripterygium wilfordii
Lineage: Eukaryota; Viridiplantae; Streptophyta; Magnoliopsida; Celastrales; Celastraceae
Exons: 2
Source: RefSeq, a predicted model, not a curated record